This 492-nucleotide ribosomal RNA is filed under the name uncultured bacterium. RNAcentral's name for it is "partial 16S ribosomal RNA". It matches the Rfam family "Bacterial small subunit ribosomal RNA", at positions 29 to 507 of the family's 1533-position model. The record is from RNAcentral.
AGUGAACGCUGGCGGUAGGCCUAACACAUGCGAGUCGAACGGCAGCACAGUAAGAGCUUGCUCUUACGGGUGGCGAGUGGCGGACGGGUGAGGAAUACAUCGGAAUCUACUUUUUCGUGGGGGAUAACGUAGGGAAACUUACGCUAAUACCGCAUACGACCUACGGGUGAAAGCAGGGGAUCUUCGGACCUUGCGCGAUUGAAUGAGCCGAUGUCGGAUUAGCUAGUUGGCGGGGUAAAGGCCCACCAAGGCGACGAUCCGUAGCUGGUCUGAGAGGAUGAUCAGCCACACUGGAACUGAGACACGGUCCAGACUCCUACGGGAGGCAGCAGUGGGGAAUAUUGGACAAUGGGCGCAAGCCUGAUCCAGCCAUACCGCGUGGGUGAAAAAGGCCUUCGGGUUGUAAAGCCCUUUUGUUGGGAAAGAAAAGCAGCAGGUUAAUACCCCGCUGUUCUGACGGUACCCAAAGAAUAAGCACCGGCUAACUUCGUG